Molecule: ribosomal RNA, 465 nt
Filed under: uncultured bacterium
Lineage: Bacteria
Description: partial 16S ribosomal RNA
Rfam family: Bacterial small subunit ribosomal RNA
Source: RNAcentral
GACGAACGCUGGCGGCGUGCUUAACACAUGCAAGUCGAACGGAAAGGCCCCUUUGGGGGUCCUCGAGUGGCGAACGGGUGCGUAACACGUGAGUAACCUGCCCUUGACUUCGGGUUAACUUCAGGAACCUGGGGCUAAUACCGGAUAGGAAUCCUUGCUGCAUGGUGGGGGUUGGAAAGCUUCGGCGGUUUUGGAUGGACUGGCGGGUUAUCAGCUUGUUGGUGGGGUAGUGGCUUACCAAGGCUUUGACGGGUCGCCGGCCUGUGAGGGCGACCGGCGACAUUGAGACUGAGAUACGGCCCAGACGCCUACGGGAGGCAGCAGGGGGGAAUCUUGCACAAUGGGCGGAAGCCUGAUGCAGCAACGCCGCGUGCGGGAUGACGGCCUUCGGGUUGUAAACCGCUUUCAGCAGGGGCGAAGCUUGUGGUGACGGUACCUGCAGAAGAAGCACCGGCUAACUACGUG